UUUUGCUACAAUUUACCUAUCUCAAUGUGAGCUAUCUAUGGUUACCUAGUGUUUACUUAGGUGUUAUAAAUGUAAAUAUUUCCACAUGCAUUUAAUUAAAUGCCCCUAUUUUUAUGCCUUUUUCCCUCUGUGUAUGUUAUACGACACAAUGGAAGGGAGAUACAGAGGAAGUUGAAGAGAGAAAGAAAACAAUUAUCAGAAGAUGUUAAAGAGUGAGCCUUGAAAUAAAAAUGCAUCUCUCUAGGAUUUUGACAGAUGAACAAAGAGUCUCUGUCACCCAGAGUGGAGUGCAAUGGUGUGAUCUCAGCUCACUGCAACCUCCGACUCCUGGGUUCAAGCGAUUCUCCAAUUUCAGAUAGAGUCUCGCUCUGUCACCCUGGCUGGAGUGCAGUGGUACGAUCUCAGCUCACUGCAACCUUCACCUCCAAGUUCAAGUGAUUCUCAUGCCUCAGCCUUCCAAAGAAGUUGAGACUACAGGUUCACGCCACCACGCCUGGCUAAUUUUUAUAUUUUUAGUAAAGACCGGGUUUCACCAUGUUGGCCAGGUUGGUCUCAAACUCCUGACCUCAAGUGAUCCGUCGCCUUGGCCUCCCAAAGUGCUGGGAUUACAGGUGUGAGCCACCGCACCCAGCCUGCCUUAAAUUUUUUAGAGGGGGAUAGGUAGGAAUAUAUCAGAUAUACAUUGUAAAUAAAUAAAUUCAGACAAAAGCUGAAAAUCAGGAGAUUUCUGUUCUGGUUCAGCUUUGGCCAUUGGUUUCAUGAUUAGAGAAAAAUCUUCUUUUCUCCAAAUCUCCUCUUCCUCAUGCGUAAAUGGAUAAAUAAGGUGUCAUCCAGGCGUGACAUUCUGAGGCUACAGCUCUAACAUGAGAAGACAAAUAAGGCAUUCUUGUGCUCCCUACAAAUUCUUAACACAAUGUGUUUGUUUAUUUUCCCCCAGUCUAUCCUUGCACAG
RNAcentral lists this long non-coding RNA (952 nucleotides) under Callithrix jacchus (white-tufted-ear marmoset). Its description in RNAcentral is "lncRNA (ENSCJAG00000068582.2)". Lineage: Eukaryota; Metazoa; Chordata; Mammalia; Primates; Cebidae. The record is from RNAcentral.